Molecule: ribosomal RNA, 1018 nt
Filed under: uncultured bacterium
Lineage: Bacteria
Description: bacterial SSU rRNA
Rfam family: Bacterial small subunit ribosomal RNA
Source: RNAcentral
AGGAAUAUUGGUCAAUGGGCGCUAGCCUGAACCAGCCAAGUAGCGUGAAGGAUGAAGGCUCUAUGGGUCGUAAACUUCUUUUAUAUAAGAAUAAAGUGCAGUAUGUAUACUGUUUUGUAUGUAUUAUAUGAAUAAGGAUCGGCUAACUCCGUGCCAGCAGCCGCGGUAAUACGGAGGAUCCGAGCGUUAUCCGGAUUUAUUGGGUUUAAAGGGAGCGUAGGUGGACUGGUAAGUCAGUUGUGAAAGUUUGCGGCUCAACCGUAAAAUUGCAGUUGAUACUGUCAGUCUUGAGUACAGUAGAGGUGGGCGGAAUUCGUGGUGUAGCGGUGAAAUGCUUAGAUAUCACGAAGAACUCCGAUUGCGAAGGCAGCUCACUGGACUGCAACUGACACUGAUGCUCGAAAGUGUGGGUAUCAAACAGGAUUAGAUACCCUGGUAGUCCACACAGUAAACGAUGAAUACUCGCUGUUUGCGAUAUACAGUAAGCGGCCAAGCGAAAGCAUUAAGUAUUUCACCUGGGGAGUACGCCGGCAACGGUGAAACUCAAAGGAAUUGACGGGGGCCCGCACAAGCGGAGGAACAUGUGGUUUAAUUCGAUGAUACGCGAGGAACCUUACCCGGGCUUAAAUUGCAGUGGAAUGAUGUGGAAACAUGUCAGUGAGCAAUCACCGCUGUGAAGGUGCUGCAUGGUUGUCGUCAGCUCGUGCCGUGAGGUGUCGGCUUAAGUGCCAUAACGAGCGCAACCCUUAUCUUUAGUUACUAACAGGUUAUGCUGGGGACUCUAGAGAGACUGCCGUCGUAAGAUGUGAGGAAGGUGGGGAUGACGUCAAAUCAGCACGGCCCUUACGUCCGGGGCUACACACGUGUUACAAUGGGGGGUACAGAAGGCAGCUAGCGGGUGACCGUAUGCUAAUCCCAAAAUCCUCUCUCAGUUCGGAUCGAAGUCUGCAACCCGACUUCGUGAAGCUGGAUUCGCUAGUAAUCGCGCAUCAGCCACGGCGCGGUGAAUACGUUCCCG